AACGAACGCUGGCGGCAUGCCUAACACAUGCAAGUCGAACGAGACCUUCGGGUCUAGUGGCGCACGGGUGCGUAACGCGUGGGAACCUGCCCUUAGGUUCGGAAUAACUCCCCGAAAGGGGUGCUAAUACCGGAUAAUGUCUUCGGACCAAAGAUUUAUCGCCUUUGGAUGGGCCCGCGUUGGAUUAGCUAGUUGUUAGGGUAAAAGCCUACCAAGGCGACGAUCCAUAGCUGGUCUGAGAGGAUGAUCAGCCACACUGGGACUGAGACACGGCCCAGACUCCUACGGGAGGCAGCAGUGGGGAAUAUUGGACAAUGGGCGAAAGCCUGAUCCAGCAAUGACGCGUGAGUGAUGAAGGCCUUAGGGUUGUAAAGCUCUUUUACCCGGGAUGAUAAUGACAGUACCGGGAGAAUAAGCUCCGGCUAACUCCGUG
RNAcentral lists this ribosomal RNA (433 nucleotides) under uncultured bacterium. Its description in RNAcentral is "partial 16S ribosomal RNA". It matches the Rfam family "Bacterial small subunit ribosomal RNA", at positions 29 to 507 of the family's 1533-position model. The record is from RNAcentral.